UUUUGGGAUCGCGGUGCCGAUAAAUCGGUCUUAUAAAUUAUUUUGAGUCGCCACCCAUUAUUUCGGCAAUGGGAUCGUUUCUAAUUUUAGUUUAUAAAAUGAAUCCAUUUAACCCAUUUUUAUUUGAGGCUAAUUAUUUGAAAAACUGGUCAGGCGUACCAAGUACGAUUCUAGGUAAGGGAAUUGGGUACGUCGGCCCAUUGGAAGC
This 208-nucleotide long non-coding RNA is filed under the name Jatropha curcas. RNAcentral's name for it is "long non-coding RNA (JCUR_LNC003056)". Lineage: Eukaryota; Viridiplantae; Streptophyta; Magnoliopsida; Malpighiales; Euphorbiaceae. The record is from RNAcentral.